CAGUGAGGCGGAGCAAGAGCAUACACGUUGGGACCCGAAAGAUGGUGAACUAUGCCCGGGCAGGAUGAAGCCAGAGGAAACUCUGGUGGAGGUCCGUAGCGAUUCUGACGUGCAAAUCGAUCGUCGGACCUGGGUAUA
RNAcentral lists this ribosomal RNA (138 nucleotides) under Lithobius viriatus. Its description in RNAcentral is "partial large subunit ribosomal RNA". It matches the Rfam family "Eukaryotic large subunit ribosomal RNA", at positions 782 to 919 of the family's 3401-position model. Lineage: Eukaryota; Metazoa; Arthropoda; Chilopoda; Lithobiomorpha; Lithobiidae. The record is from RNAcentral.